This 493-nucleotide ribosomal RNA is filed under the name uncultured bacterium. Its description in RNAcentral is "partial 16S ribosomal RNA". It matches the Rfam family "Bacterial small subunit ribosomal RNA", at positions 30 to 523 of the family's 1533-position model. The record is from RNAcentral.
AUUGAACGCUGGCGGCAUGCCCUACACAUGCAAGUCGAACGGUAACAGGUUAAGCUGACGAGUGGCGAACGGGUGAGUAAUAUAUCGGAACGUGCCCAGUCGUGGGGGAUAACGUAGCGAAAGCUACGCUAAUACCGCAUACGAUCUACGGAUGAAAGCGGGGGAUCGCAAGACCUCGCGCGAUUGGAGCGGCCGGUAUCAGAUUAGGUUGUUGGUGAGGUAAAAGCUCACCAAGCCUGCGAUCUGUAGGUGGUCUGAGAGGACGACCAGCCACACUGGAACUGAGUCACGGUCCAGACUCCUACGGGAGGCAGCAGUGGGGAAUUUUGGACAAUGGACGCAAGUCUGAUCCAGCAAUGCCGCGUGCAGGACGAAGGCCUUCGGGUUGUAAACUGCUUUUGUACGGAACGAAACGGUGAGCUCUAAUACAGUUUGCUAAUGACGGUACCGUAAGAAUAAGCACCGGCUAACUACGUGCCAGCCGCCGCAGUAA